UGUGUCCUUAUGAGAUAACUUUUCCUUUGAGAUGUCAUCAGCUGUCUUCAAGCCUGGUUCACUUCUGCUGGAACUUGCCCUAGUUGGAGAAAAGAGGGAUGUCAGAACUGGUUCCUUCUCUGAUGUGAAGCUUUACUAAAUG
Lonchura striata (white-rumped munia) is the source of this 142-nucleotide non-coding RNA. The record is from RefSeq and is a predicted model, not a curated record. Lineage: Eukaryota; Metazoa; Chordata; Aves; Passeriformes; Estrildidae.